RNAcentral lists this non-coding RNA (26 nucleotides) under Rattus norvegicus (Norway rat). The record is from RNAcentral. Lineage: Eukaryota; Metazoa; Chordata; Mammalia; Rodentia; Muridae.
UGAAUGGUACCAAAAAAAAAAUGUGA